CUUGGUCAUUUAGAGGAAGUAAAAGUCGUAACAAGGUUUCCGUAGGUGAACCUGCGGAAGGAUCAUUAAAGAGUAAGGGUGCUCAGCGCCCGGCCUCCAACCCUUUGUUGUUAAAACUACCUUGUUGCUUUGGCGGGACCGCUCGGUCUCGAGCCGCUGGGGAUUCGUCCCAGGCGAGCGCCCGCCAGAGUUAAACCAAACUCUUGUUAUUAAACCGGUCGUCUGAGUUAAAAUUUUGAAUAAAUCAAAACUUUCAACAACGGAUCUCUUGGUUCUCGCAUCGAUGAAGAACGCAGCGAAAUGCGAUAAGUAAUGUGAAUUGCAGAAUUCAGUGAAUCAUCGAAUCUUUGAACGCACAUUGCGCCCCUUGGUAUUCCGAGGGGCAUGCCUGUUCGAGCGUCAUUACACCACUCAAGCUAUGCUUGGUAUUGGGUGCCGUCCUUAGUUGGGCGCGCCUUAAAGACCUCGGCGAGGCCACUCCGGCUUUAGGCGUAGUAGAAUUUAUUCGAACGUCUGUCAAAGGAGAGGAACUCUGCCGAUUGAAACCUUUUAUUUUUCUAGGUUGACCUCGGAUCAGGUAGGGAUACCCGCUGAACUUAAGCAUAUCAAUAAGCGGAGGA
This 620-nucleotide ribosomal RNA is filed under the name uncultured fungus. RNAcentral describes it as "eukaryotic LSU rRNA". The stretch from base 249 to 402 matches the Rfam family "5.8S ribosomal RNA". Lineage: Eukaryota; Fungi. The record is from RNAcentral.